Molecule: ribosomal RNA, 440 nt
Filed under: uncultured Brevundimonas sp.
Lineage: Bacteria; Pseudomonadati; Pseudomonadota; Alphaproteobacteria; Caulobacterales; Caulobacteraceae
Description: bacterial SSU rRNA
Rfam family: Bacterial small subunit ribosomal RNA
Source: RNAcentral
CCUACGGGGGGCAGAAGUGGGGAAUCUUGCGCAAUGGGCGAAAGCCUGACGAAGCCAUGCCGCGGGAAUGAUGAAGGUCUUAGGAGGGUAAAAGGCGGGCAAAGGGGACGAGAAGGACGGUACCCGGAGAAGAAGCCCCGGCUAACUUCGUGCCAGCAGCCGCGGUAAUACGAAGGGGGCUAGCGUUGCUCGGAAUUACUGGGCGUAAAGGGCGCGUAGGCGGACAUUUAAGUCAGGGGUGAAAUCCCAGAGCUCAACUCUGGAACUGCCUUUGAUACUGGGUGUCUUGAGUGUGAGAGAGGUAUGUGGAACUCCGUGUGUAGAGGUGAAAUUCGUAGAUAUUCGGAAGAACACCAGUGGCGAAGGCGACAUACUGGCUCAUUACUGACGCUGAGGCGCGAAAGCGUGGGGAGCAAACAGGAUUAGAUACCCCGGUAGUC